This 510-nucleotide long non-coding RNA is filed under the name Mytilus galloprovincialis (Mediterranean mussel). The record is from RNAcentral. Lineage: Eukaryota; Metazoa; Mollusca; Bivalvia; Mytilida; Mytilidae.
CAGUGGCGUAGCCAGGGUUGAAAUGAUGUGGAUGCCUUCGCCGAGCGGAGCGAGGCGAAAAACUUUUGGGACUAUUUUAUGCAGCAAAAUUAUUUUUUCCUACCUUUUUUCCGGUAGGCACGUGAACUCCCCAGAAUCCGACACUGAUUUGAUUUUUGUUUUAUCUCAAAAUACCCAACAAUUCAUGUAAUUACAUAUCUAACAAAACUUUAUUGUUUUCUCGAAAAUAAAUUUAAGUAAUAAUUAUUUGAUGUAAAAAUUUCCCACCCAAUCUCAUAUUUGACAUCUCAUAAACGACUCCAUCACAGCGGCACUUCUGUAUAUAGGAACUGAAGUGAACCCCUUUCCUAGAAUUUCUCAAAAAUGGUCCCAUUACAGCGGCACUAUAGGAACUGAUGUGACUCCCCUUAACACGUCGUAGGGGACAUCAUGGAAAUACCUGGGGUCCGUCCGUCCGGUCUUGUUAGCAUUCUCAUGUGAAUGAUUCUUGCCAGAUUUUCAUAUCAUCAG